This is a long non-coding RNA of Capra hircus (goat), 1159 nucleotides long. RefSeq lists it as uncharacterized. Lineage: Eukaryota; Metazoa; Chordata; Mammalia; Artiodactyla; Bovidae. The transcript has 2 exons. The record is from RefSeq and is a predicted model, not a curated record.
UUGACCACUGCCACACAGAAAAAGACAGAACUCAAGAAAAAUAAUAUUACAAGUUGACUGCUCUACAAGAUACAACAUAAAUCUUAGGUCAGAAUUUCAUCACUUUUGGCACCAGGCCAGCACACUGUUAAUUGAACAAAAAAUGAGAACAAAAGCACAGAUCCUAAAACUUAAUUUCUUCCCCAAUGUAAUUCACUAUACCCUUUAAAUAUAAGGUAUUCUUUUCACCAAUAUAAUUUUUCAGCUAUUGGGGCAACUUUUUCUUACAAGGGCUAACAUAGAAUGGGUAGGACUCAUAAAUAUGAAACAAAGAGGAGGAUAGUCAGGUAAAGUAGGGAGGAAGGAAGCAAUUAAAAAGUAUUUUCCUUCAAAUGAAAUAAUUUUACAGUGUACUUGUUAAUAUCAAAUCUCUGAAUGAAACAUACAUCUAACAAGUUCAUGUUCUUUUUAUGAGUGCCUUCAGCCAUCAGGCUAACAUUGUUCUCUUCAAAUAUUGUUUUACACUCUGCAAAUGGAAAUAAAGUACACCCAUACACAAAAAGGAGUGUUCCUUCAAAUUCCUAAGUUCAUAGCAUUCCUAACCUGCCCCAAUGAUUCUGGGUAGAAUUUUAUUUUUUGCAGCAAUGAUUUGCCCUAAUUUUGUAAUAAAAGAAAUUUUUUAUUUUUUCCACAUCAAGGAGCAGAUAAGUAUUUGAAAGAAACAACGACUUUCAUAAUCGAGAUGUUUAUAUUUCUGUCAUCUAAAAAUGAGCUCUGCUGGUUCUGCUAUAAGCAGUUGGUUUAAGUAGAAUAAAAACAACAUAGUAACUUUCUAAAUAAAGCUUAACUGGGAUUCAUGAAAUGUCUACCCAUUCUUUCCUCAAAUAGCCAAAUAAAUGAAGAAUUUCUUAUCCACAUCACCUGCUAAGGCAAAAAGAGGAAAACAUUCUGGGGUCCUGAUUUGAGGGGGCCACAAUGGAGAUUUUCAAAUGAUUUAUCACAUAACCAAUAAAAGGAAAUGGUGACUGGUCAGAGGUUAAAACAUAACAAACAGGAAUAGGGAAAACAGAGGCAAAACAUCACAGAGGUAGAAAUAUAAAGGAAAAUUAUGAGUAUUUAAUAUUCAUUUCUAAAACAUCAUUCUGAAUGAUCUACUCAAAUAAAAAUGUUUUGCUUCUGA